This 469-nucleotide ribosomal RNA is filed under the name uncultured Alphaproteobacteria bacterium. RNAcentral's name for it is "bacterial SSU rRNA". It matches the Rfam family "Bacterial small subunit ribosomal RNA", at positions 9 to 524 of the family's 1533-position model. Lineage: Bacteria; Pseudomonadati; Pseudomonadota; Alphaproteobacteria. The record is from RNAcentral.
GAGUUUGAUCUUGGCUCAGAGCGAACGCUGGCGGCAGGCCUAACACAUGCAAGUCGAACGGACCCUUCGGGGUUAGUGGCGGACGGGUGAGUAACACGUGGGAACGUGCCCUUUGGUACGGAACAACUCAGGGAAACUUGAGCUAAUACCGUAUAAGCCCUACGGGGGAAAGAUUUAUCGCCAUUGGAGCGGCCCGCGUCUGAUUAGCUAGUUGGUGAGGUAAAGGCUCACCAAGGCUACGAUCAGUAGCUGGUCUGAGAGGAUGAUCAGCCACACUGGGACUGAGACACGGCCCAGACUCUUACGGGAGGCAGCAGUGGGGAAUAUUGGACAAUGGGCGCAAGCCUGAUCCAGCCAUGCCGCGUGAGUGAUGAAGGCCCUAGGGUUGUAAAGCUCUUUCAACGGUGAAGAUAAUGACGGUAACCGUAGAAGAAGCCCCGGCUAACUUCGUGCCAGCCGCCGCAGUAAC